AGUAUUAUUACUCACUAAUUAUUAUUGGCUUGAAGUCAGUGGUCUUCAGGAUGUCAUUUUCUAUGAACAUAAGUGAAAGCCAGUUGAAAUGA
Long non-coding RNA from Sphaeramia orbicularis (orbiculate cardinalfish), 92 nucleotides. RefSeq lists it as uncharacterized. NCBI's taxonomy places the organism in Eukaryota, Metazoa, Chordata, Actinopteri, Kurtiformes, Apogonidae. The record is from RefSeq and is a predicted model, not a curated record. The transcript is spliced from 3 exons.